UGCGUGCGUGCGUGUAUGUGCAUGUGCAUGUGCAUGUGCAUGCGGGUUCACCUGUGGUGGUGAGUUCUGGUUAAGUCAAGUGAUCUAGAGGUGUGUGGGUGACCAGAACUUUCAACCCACCUGCGGCUCAGCGCUGUGACUCAUCCACACUUGCUGCUUUCUUCUGAUCUACUGUCACGUGAUGCCCUGAAGUCAUGGACCUGAGCCAUAUUUACAGACCAGACUAUCAGGGUGCAGGACUCUUAUGGCCCGGACCGGUGCGCAGAAGCCAUGAUGCUCAGCACUGGGACGAAGCUCCAGGAGAAUCACAGCGACAGCUGCCCAUCAGAGCAGAUGACACACUCGCUCCUCUGAUGUUCGGACAGACUGAUGAAAAACGAAGGAAAAAAGCUGCGGUCUGAUCUGGGAUCAGUCAUCUUGUCUGUAUUGUAAUCUCGUGUGUGUUCAGCUGAUCUGUGGUCAACAAGAGGCCAACAACACAGUAGUGAAGUGAGUUCAUGUGAACUGAGUCACUCUUAGAUUCUGACAUGUGAAUAAAUGCCGCU
This 545-nucleotide long non-coding RNA is filed under the name Sinocyclocheilus anshuiensis. Its description in RNAcentral is "lncRNA (ENSSANG00000005340.1)". Lineage: Eukaryota; Metazoa; Chordata; Actinopteri; Cypriniformes; Cyprinidae. The record is from RNAcentral.